UCCGUAGGUGAACCUGCGGAAGGAUCAUUACUGAUUUGCUUAAUUGCACCACAUGUGUUUUUCUUUGAAACAAACUUGCUUUGGCGGUGGGCCCAGCCUGCCGCCAGAGGUCUAAACUUACAACCAAUUUUUUAUCAACUUGUCACACCAGAUUAUUACUAAUAGUCAAAACUUUCAACAACGGAUCUCUUGGUUCUCGCAUCGAUGAAGAACGCAGCGAAAUGCGAUACGUAAUAUGAAUUGCAGAUAUUCGUGAAUCAUCGAAUCUUUGAACGCACAUUGCGCCCUCUGGUAUUCCGGAGGGCAUGCCUGUUUGAGCGUCGUUUCUCCCUCAAACCGCUGGGUUUGGUGUUGAGCAAUACGACUUGGGUUUGCUUGAAAGACGGUAGUGGUAAGGCGGGAUCGCUUUGACAAUGGCUUAGGUCUAACCAAAAACAUUGCUUGCGGCGGUAACGUCCACCACGUAUAUCUUCAAACUUUGACCUCAAAUCAGGUAGGACUACCCGCUGAACUUAAGCAUAUCAAUAAGCGGAGGA
Molecule: ribosomal RNA, 536 nt
Filed under: Candida albicans
Lineage: Eukaryota; Fungi; Ascomycota; Pichiomycetes; Serinales; Debaryomycetaceae
Description: eukaryotic LSU rRNA
Rfam family: 5.8S ribosomal RNA (bases 170-323)
Source: RNAcentral